Molecule: ribosomal RNA, 460 nt
Filed under: uncultured bacterium
Lineage: Bacteria
Description: partial 16S ribosomal RNA
Rfam family: Bacterial small subunit ribosomal RNA
Source: RNAcentral
CCUACGGGAGGCAGCAGUGAGGAAUAUUGGUCAAUGGACGGAAGUCUGAACCAGCCAUGCAGCGUGAAGGAUGACGGCUCUAUGAGUUGUAAACUGCUUUUGUAUUAGUGUAAACCCCCCUACGUGUAGGGGCUUGAAAGUAUAAUACGAAUAAGGAUCGGCUAACUCCGUGCCAGCAGCCGCGGUAAUACGGAGGAUCCAAGCGUUAUCCGGAUUUAUUGGGUUUAAAGGGAGCGUAGACGGUUUGUUAAGUUAGAGGUGAAAUACCGGUGCUCAACACCGGAACUGCCUCUAAUACUGGUAAACUAGAGUGUAGUUGCGGUAGGCGGAAUGUAUGGUGUAGCGGUGAAAUGCUUAGAUAUCACACAGAACACCGAUUGCGAAGGCAGCUUACCAAACUAUAUCUGACGUUGAUGCACGAAAGCGUGGGUAGCAAACAGGAUUAGAUACCCCAGUAGUC